Salmo salar (Atlantic salmon) is the source of this 56-nucleotide non-coding RNA. Lineage: Eukaryota; Metazoa; Chordata; Actinopteri; Salmoniformes; Salmonidae. The record is from Rfam.
UUAUGAAAUGUAUGCAUAAGUUGCUCUGGAUAAGAGCGUCUGCUAAAUGACUAAAA